GAUGAACGCUGGCGGCGUGCCUAAUACAUGCAAGUCGAGCGAACAGACGAGGAGCUUGCUCCUCUGACGUUAGCGGCGGACGGGUGAGUAACACGUGGAUAACCUACCUAUAAGACUGGGAUAACUUCGGGAAACCAGAGCUAAUACCGGAUAAUAUAUUGAACCGCAUGGUUCAAUAGUGAAAGACGGUUUUGCUGUCACUUAUAGAUGGAUCCGCGCCGCAUUAGCUAGUUGGUAAGGUAACGGCUUACCAAGGCAACGAUGCGUAGCCGACCUGAGAGGGUGAUCGGCCACACUGGAACUGAGACACGGUCCAGACUCCUACGGGAGGCAGCAGUAGGGAAUCUUCCGCAAAGGGCGAAAGCCUGACGGAGCAACGCCGCGUGAGUGAUGAAGGUCUUCGGAUCGUAAAACUCUGUUAUUAGGGAGGAACAAAUGUGUAAGUAACUAUGCACGUCUUGACGGUACCUAAUCAGAAAGCCACGGCUAACUACGUG
This 497-nucleotide ribosomal RNA is filed under the name uncultured bacterium. RNAcentral describes it as "partial 16S ribosomal RNA". It matches the Rfam family "Bacterial small subunit ribosomal RNA", at positions 28 to 507 of the family's 1533-position model. The record is from RNAcentral.